This 240-nucleotide unclassified non-coding RNA is filed under the name soil metagenome. Its description in RNAcentral is "partial contains 5.8S ribosomal RNA, internal transcribed spacer 2, and large subunit ribosomal RNA". The record is from RNAcentral.
AACGCACGAGACCUGCGGACCUGCGGAAGGAUCAUUAAUGAGAAACUGCCCCUCGCGGGUAGAUCUCCCACCCUUUGUAAACUUACCUUUGUUGCUUUGGCAGGCCCGUCUCCGGACCGCCGGCUUCGGCUGGCCAGUGCCUGCCAGAGGAUUCUAAAACUCUGUCUGUCAGUGUUGUCCGAGUCUAUAUACAAUCGUUAAAACUUUCAACAACGGAUCUCUAGAUCGGAAGAGCACACG